Molecule: ribosomal RNA, 446 nt
Filed under: uncultured bacterium
Lineage: Bacteria
Description: partial 16S ribosomal RNA
Rfam family: Bacterial small subunit ribosomal RNA
Source: RNAcentral
CCUACGGGUGGCAGCAGUCGAGAAUCAUUCACAAUGGGGGAAACCCUGAUGGUGCGACGCCGCGUGGGGGAAUGAAGGUCUUCGGAUUGUAAACCCCUGUCAUGUGGGAGCAAAUUAAAAAGAUAGUACCACAAGAGGAAGAGACGGCUAACUCUGUGCCAGCAGCCGCGGUAAUACAGAGGUCUCAAGCGUUGUUCGGAAUCACUGGGCGUAAAGCGUGCGUAGGCUGUUUCGUAAGUCGUGUGUGAAAGGCGCGGGCUCAACACGCGGCCGGCACAAGAUACUGCGAGACUAGAGUAAGGGAGGGGGAACCGGAAUUCUCGGUGUAGCAGUGAAAUGCGUAGAUAUCGAGAGGAACACUCGUGGCGAAGGCGGGUUCCUGGACAUUAACUGACGCUGAGGCACGAAGGCCAGGGGAGCGAAAGGGAUUAGAUACCCUAGUAGUC